AUGGCCAGCCAUAACAGACUGAAUGCACUGAUGUUGACUAAACAUGAAAGCUAAACAGUCCUGGACCUUGCUAGUACUUUAAUGGGAGACCCCUGGGGAAUCCUGGGUCCUGCAGACA
Alligator mississippiensis (American alligator) is the source of this 118-nucleotide ribosomal RNA. NCBI's taxonomy places the organism in Eukaryota, Metazoa, Chordata, Crocodylia, Alligatoridae. The record is from Rfam.